CCUUACUUAUUUUCCUACUUGGGUUUGGUUUGGAUUUUUUUUUCCUUACUAAUUAGAAAACUAAUUUUAGAAAUUAGUCUUGUCCACUCUGGAAACCUAAUAGAAAAUUAGUAAAAAUGCAAUAGCAGGAAAAUGAAAGUAAGCCUGGGGAAAGGUAAUUGUUUAUAACUGAGGGGUUUUGUUAACUCCUGUGCCUAAUUAACACACUACAAAGGGGAGCCUUUGUUGAAACUUCCACACCCUGCUUUCUCAAUUAAAGUACAAGAGAGAUCAUCAUAAAAAGAGCUUGGAGACAGCUGGUAUGUCCCCUAGCAAAGCUAAGCCUGAUUUAGCAUUCCUUAAACUAAAAAAAAAAAAAAUUAAAUAAAAUCCUCAAAAACCAAAACCCAACAAUACCAAACAUACACAUACUCGCUUUCUUUUUCUGCAUGUGAUUCUUUUUCUCCAUGUAAUGCAAAGCUCUUUCUCAUUAGUUCCUAGUAGCAACAAAAAACCCUUAAAUUAUGAUCCUCAUUGCUGAUGUGUUUUUAGCCCACAGGAAAAAUGGGCUGGGGUGAUUAUUUUCAGGGUUAUGAUGGCUGGUUGAAGAAACUUUGCAGGAAAGCUGAAUCAUUGGGUGAGCAUCUUGUUUUCAUCUUUUUUUAUUUUGCUAUCCCACAUCUAAGGGGUGGCUUAUGAAAAUUCAAAAGGCUUUUAUACAUGUACAUUCCUCUAUAAAGAGUCAAAGAAUUACAGGCCUCUGCAGUCUCACAAUUAGCUGCAAACUUAGGUAUAGGUGUGUGUUUCAAGCUCAGGGUUAGAUGCAGCUGUAAUCAGGAGCGUGGUAGAGCAGUAAGAGGCUUAAGGGUGCUUUAACUUUAUGUACAAACAAAAAUUCAAGGAGGGAGAGGACAGGAUUUACCACAGGUUGAAUAACUUACCCCAUUAGGUAGAAGAGAGCAGUGCUACCUUAUUUUGUGUUUUAGGUCUGUGUCAUGCUUGGGUUUAUAACUCAAAGUCCAAAUAAUAUUCAUAAUAUUCUCUUCCACAGAAAACCUUUUAACCUCCUUUUUUUUUUUUUUUUCUUCCUUUCUUCCCUGGGACCAGUGCAGUGCAAGAAGGCAGCAGUGCUUGCAAGACUCCUUACAUCUUGGCCUAACACAAGUUGCUACUUCACCUGAAGGAAUUCCAGAAGUCCCUGAGCACCUCUGUCCUGCGGGUUUGAUUCCUCUAACACUUUCCUGUCUCUUGGUAGCUAAGAAAUUGCAGAGCAGGUGCUAGCCUGGGCAGCUCAGAAAUCUGCUACUCCUCAAGUAAUCCCAGGAAAUGAUGAUCUGAUAAAUGGGAGAGAAGGGUGACUGUGUUAAAUGGAGCUCAUCUUCACCUCAUCUGAAAGGAGGCUUCCCACAGUGAUGGCACCUCAUGUAUCUGUGUUGGCAAUGUCUCACAUCCUACAAAGCUAAUGCCUCAGGAAGUCCUGGUGAAUUUCUGUGUCAGCACGCUGUUCUUCAGUGAUCCAGUGUACAAUAUGACUUUUUAAAUAUCUUCACCAUCACUGCUGGAGCAGUGGUAAGCUAUGUCACAGCACUAAAACCAAAUGUCUAGUGGGAGAAUAGGCAACACCUUAAACCAGUUUUGCUGAUGAAGAGGGCAUGAUGGAAUUGCACCUUGCCAUGCGAAAAUGAGCAAAUUAAGCCUUGCCUUUUCUACAGCCAUGCCGGAAGAUGGGUAGUUCUGCCAAGAGUAACAUCAUUCUGAAAGAAAAGGACUACUCUCCUCCUGACAUCUGCUCCUGGCUGCUUCUGAGACAGGUUAGCCGGGACACAUUUCACUUACUUGUUCUCUGACACACACACCCCUCCCAGCCCUCAGGGGAAACAUCACUUGCUUUCACUCCUUCCACAUCUCUUAAGAUGGCUUUCCACCUUUCGCACUCUCACAGUUUGGAUCUGGCAUUUGGUUUAGGAGGAGAACAAUAAAGAAUUGGUAUAAAGGGAAAAGGAAGUUAUGUGCUAAUGCGUGGUGCUUAAAUUGCAGACAAAUUUCAGGUUGCUCAGAGGCACAAAGUCCGCAGACAUAAGUGACUUUCUUCCGCAGACCUGCUUCCAAAGAGCCAGUUCCUUUUGCACCUGAAAACGCUUCAAGUUCUCAUCUGCAUUUAUAGCUGCUGCUUUGUAUGUGUGUAUCUAUUAAAGCCAGUUCAGAGCUGCUUCUCUAAAGAAAUUCUAAUUAUGAAUCUGCACUGAAACAACUAAGGUUUCGAGUUUUGCAAAAGCAGAGCUCAGGCUUCUUAGCAACACCAGAUUGUGACAUUCUCCAGAUCUGUACAUGUGUGGUUUCUGUCUAAAGCCACUGUGGUUAGAGUUUAGCAAUGUGAGUCCUUCCAUGGAGUAAACACCUUUUGUCUCUGUCACUCUUCUUGUUUCACUCUCUCCAUCUUGUCAGUAAGAAACUAGUUUUGGAAGAGGAUUUUUUCUGCCCCCCAAAGCAUUGAAAAUUAUUCACCAAAAUUAAUUUGGCCAUUUUUAUCUGUUUUUCAGAUACAAAAAUUAAAUGUCCCUACAUUUAUUGAUGAUCAAUGAAGUGCAGGCUUCUCCCAGGGCUUGCUGUUUGCCAACAAAUUUAAGCAAAGUUUGUUUGCAACAAACUUAAGACCAAACUGGUCUUGGAUUAGACCAGUGUAGGGGAAAACACUGUAGUUCAGCAAAGUGGCUCUUUGUCUGGUGUGUAAAAGCUGGUGAAGUAUCUCUGGAUGCUUGCUGCCUCAUAUAUUUGUUUCCCUCUGGAAAUACCACAGUGCCAUUAAUCUAUUCCCAUCAAACUGGUAAAACUGUUUUCUGUUUAGAUGUUUUCCAGAAUUCAGCAACCAUUACAGGUUUGUUCUUCCAAAUCAUGCUGGCUUGCAAACACUGAUGGAAAAUAUGAGUGAAGUUGAUCAGAAAGAUCCACAUAAGCAUCCUGUGAAUUUGUAGAAAGUAACAGA
Molecule: long non-coding RNA, 2962 nt
Organism: Passer montanus (Eurasian tree sparrow)
Lineage: Eukaryota; Metazoa; Chordata; Aves; Passeriformes; Passeridae
Exons: 3
Source: RefSeq, a predicted model, not a curated record